CCCCCCCCCCCCCGCCCUUCCUGACUUUACAAUAACGGAGCACCCACGUUAGUUACCAGAGAAACACCAUGUUGUUAUAGUAACCCACGGUUUCGCACUGAAUCCCAUCCAUCCUUAAUGAAUCAGAUUUUUAAAAAUAGCUGACCAUAACAACUAAUACUUUUUUGACACCAUAUUCCUACAAACAAAAGAACAAUGGAUAAAUAAGAUUAAAAGAUGAAAGACAUCCUGCUCUAAACAUCCUGCAAACGUCUAAUCAUCUAAACAUCCUGCAAACGAUGCCUGAAAUCUUUUUAUCCAUUAGCUCAUUGAAGAGUGACGAUCACUCCUGGCAGAAGGCUGCUGGCUGCUGAAUCAGCGCUAAUUGACAUCGUGUCCCUGGGACCAAUUCGACACUGAAACAUCUGUCAGAGCUACUGUGGCAAUUUCAUGCCAGUUUGUUAUGGAAGCCACAAUGCUAAAAUAACGUGGGUGUGGAUCAUAGUGUAGCGAGAGGGAGGGAGGGAGUUUUGGGAGGCCAGAAAGCAUUUGCAUGCUUUCCGGGCACAUCUGGAAGAAAGUGUGUGUGUGUGCGCAUGUGUCCUCCAAAAUUAGUGAGGUUUCACAAGAUCCUAAAACACUCAGCCUUACAAACACCGCAAAUAACAUCCAAACAUUACAAUUAAAAAUCUAUUGAAAUAAUGGAGAUUAUUAUUUUUUUUUUAGUUUUUAUUUUAUUUUCCCCAACAACUUUCCAUAAAAUAAAUCUGGCUAAAUUUCUGGAACAUUCAGUUUCAUUACUGAAACGUGCUACUUGUACUUUAAUUCUUUAGACAUUCAGGAAAGUUUUACAGUGUUGAGUCGGAUUCUUCCUACUAAAGUUUACCAUUAAGCAUCAAAUAAAUCCAAACACUUUAGUCUGACCAACACCAAAAAUAAUUAUGGUUCAAAAUUAGCUGUAGGUUUCAGUAAUGAGAGAAAUAAUUUUUAUAUUUAUCUAAAUUAACGUUUUAUAGCAUUUACUAAAUGUGUUUAUUAUGUUUUGAUAAUAAAACAACCACCUUUACUAUUUCUGAUCCAACAAUUGUAAGCAGUGAUGCUCUAGAACAUGUCCGUAAAAAUAUCGGAAAAUGAUUAAGUCCUCAUCAUAAAACGGACCAUAAUUUCGUGAACCGAACCACAUUUUAAAAAGUCUGCUCUGAAUCAAAUCGCCAUUUCACGAGAAUUACGCGCGUAUGUGUUUGGAAUCCGAGUCUCGGAUGUUGUAAAUGACGAGAGAGAGUCAAUCUUUGUAUGGGCUCAUUCAAACUCGUGAAGCAUGGGAACAGAAGAGAGACAAAGUUGCUCGUUUAUCCCCCGGCUUCUUAUUCAACAUGAACGCUCGUUCGUCUGAAUAGCGGCCAUGUACGCAAAGUCAAAAGGUCGUGUGGCUGUUGCAGAGAAAUGUCAUCCAGCUACACAAAAAUGGCAACUAUUUAUGUUGCCCAGGGGCAGGCACAGAAAGACAUGUUACACAAUGCCUGAGCUGUUACACGUGUGUGUGUGUGUGUGUGUGUAACUAUUGGCCUGAUACAUAGGACAAUACCAAACUUAUAAACUGGCAACUUGGAGCAUAAAUCACUAAUAUUUAUGCGUUAACUUUACCGAUAGAAAUACAGUUUGAACAUGAAGACAAAAAUGUUUCUUAUGGCCGUCUACUACCAAUGUCACAAAACCCAUCUCUCCUGUAUCCCAGAUUCUUCACUCUCCUUUCAACCGGAUUAACCACUGUACAGUCGCAUUAGCCAUCAGGCAAUCACGCCGUACUCCUUACUGCCAUCUGAACAUGUGCGACCUCUGACACCGAGCUGGAUAAAGAGGCUCACCGCAAGCCAUCUGAUCCACAACCACAAACGAGCAAGUGAGCUGUGUGAAGCGUUAGUGAAAUAAAUCGAUAUAUAUGAGAGCGACCCAUUUCAAAUUCAAAACCGAAUUCAAUUCAAAUUCAAUUCAAAACCGCAUCCCAGGAAGGAGACAACACUGAUAUUGAAACGGUUUUUUAUUAUUUUAUCGUAGCGAUGUACUACUUUCCCGUGGAUGUGCGUCUUUCUCUCUCGCCAUCCACCCGACUCCAAGGGAAAAAUAUAUGCUGUUCAUUUUAGAAUACAUUUCAUUUAUCAAGACGCCGUCCUACAAAAGAGCAAGUGAAUCAUACCCUAUUGCUGAUCUCCUUUCACCAUUAGGGAUGUUGAUUGAAAACACAGAUCUUCCACAUGAACACAAAAUGCAACAUGUCUUUGAGCAGCCACUGCUAUGCUGUGAAUAGAGCAUGAGGGUUAAACAAACAGCCCGUGUGUACACACAAUUAGAGACGUACCUAUCUAAUACCCCAUGUUAGUUUUAAAAAAGGAGAAGAAGAAGAAAAAAAAGUCGUCGAUACUAGAUCGAAACCCUGAACUGGUUUCGGAUCUGAAUUUCCCAUUUCUGAUCUAAUCUACUGCCCGUGUGUGGCGUUGACGGACGGCAUUAAGUCUGCACAGGAACAUCGGACACAAAUCUUGCUCGUGCAUGCCGUCAUUACGUCUUUGAUCUUCUGCGUAAAUCCGGCCAAAUUCUUAGUUCGCGAGCAUGUGAUAUUUUAGAAUUUAUAAAAUUUUAGAUGCUACGACACUCGUGUAAAAGGUACCAAUUAGAGGAUUACGCAAAAAGCUAAAUAAAUCACAAGACGGCUAUGAAAACGGUAAUGACAAAUCAUAAACUAAACGUCCUAAUGGACAGAAAAUUGAAUCCUUUAUUACGUCAGUCUCACUUUAAACGACGUUUCUAUUUAUGAGACGCCAUUUGAUCGCAGGUCUAUCGUUAGAGGAUUGUCGCUGUAUAAUGGGACAUGUAGAACACGCUUCUGAGAACGUUUGAACGCGAUCAUCUUGUACAGUGAGACAAGUCAUAAUCUCUUCAAGACUGCUGAAAUGGCAGAGUGAAAAACCAGCUAAACGUGGUACGAGAAGCUUGCAGAGACUUGACGUGGUUACUGCAAGGAUGCCAGCACUGGAUCAGUAUUGGGUACCGGUAUUGGUGUCUAAUAGGACGUUCUAAUCUAAUAGGUAACAAAUUAAUGAGAUCACAAAACGCGUUCCGCGUUAAAAUAUAUGAAGCAGCAUGGAUGUGAAGUGCGCAUGCGCAGAAACAUCUGGACCGUUAAUAAUAACGGGGAAUGCCUCCAAAACCGCAUACUACCUUACUACAUAGUAUUCGAAAUACAACAUCACAGUAACCAAUAGUGACCUGCUAUUCUAUUCUCGCGCACUGUUUAGUACACUAGUACGCAACUUGGCACGUGACCAAUACAAUGUGCGCGUGAGUUUCUCUGUACUGCAUUAAUAAAGCACAGAAUGAACAGUUAAACACCGAGCUCCAGUAUACCACAUAACAGAGACUUGUUUAUGCACAAGGCUGUCUAACAGCACAAAAAAUGACCGAAAUUUACUGGAUAUUUCAGAUACUUCUAAUAAACAACAACCAAUAAAUAAACACCAACAAACCGGAAAAGAUUAAGCUAGCGUAGCUCUACGUUUGGACGAAAACAAGCCACAACAUGCUAAUACGGGUUACCGCAACACACUCACACACACACUCAAGAGAGCACACUUCCAACACACCGCGGUCUAGUAACGGUAAAUGUUGACAUUACAGGAAAUUCGGUGUCCUUUCCACCGUUCUCCGGUCACAGAGCCAGGACCAGCGACGCGGUUUAGAUUCACCGAGUCCCACUUAACAUCCUCGCACGAGCUGGUUGUGGGGCUGGAGUACGCGCGAUGUAGCGUAGUGACGCAGAUACUGCAGCCAAUCACAGCGCGCCAAUUCAACGUCAGACGCGCCGCGGGAAAAGAACGCGGAAGCGCGAAAUCCCCAAGCGUGCGCGCGUAUGCGUGCACGGUUAAACUACCGUGUUAGUUGAACCAUACAGAUCCCACGAGUUCUUGAACAGAAUGGAGGAUCAGCUUAAUACCAUACACAACAUGAGUUAAGGAAAAAGCGCUGAUGUCAAAUCUUCUCUCUCCUUCACCCCCCGUGAUUCCCAAAAUAUUAAGAACAGACAAUGCAUGCGCCAGCUGUUUCCCAACCCUGGUCCUGGAUUACUCCUUUUCCUGCACACUUUAGUGUUUUCUCUGCUCCCAACACACCUGAUUUAGACCAACAAGCUAAUAAACAGUCGUUCCUAAAGUCGAAGAGUGUGUGUGUGUGUGUGUGUGUGUGUGUGUGUGUCUUAAAGCGGAGAAAAGACUAGAAUGUGCACAGUACAGUACUCCAGGAACAGGGUUAAUGCUACAAGUCUUUGAGAGUUAUGCAUGUCAGGGUUUCCGGAUCUGCUUGCCAACAUCAACCAAUGCAAAAUCCAGCCCAACCCCAAAAAAACUCAACUCUAUACGCUGCUUUUGAAGUCUAAGAUCAUGACAAUCCUUGCCAAAUAUAUUGCAAUUUUUAAAUUUAAUGAAGCAGUAUUUUUUAAAAAAGAACCUGCUUCCCUAAAUGGCUCUUUCAUCACUGGACUUGUAUUAUUACUCAUAGUCAAACAAAUGUUUCAUUCAUGCUAAUCCUGAAAUACACUAGAAAGAAGAGAGAAAAAAACAUUCCUGGCAACACUAACCUCCAUUGCAAGGUUGCCUGUGGAGUGGUAGCAUGAAGUAAUUAUUUAUUUAUUAAUUAUAAUUUCUGAUUUGUAAUAUAAUGUUUCUAUAACAUUAUACUUAACAUGGAACACAUUUUCCUACAAAUGUUAGUAGCCUUGGUAGAGAGGCUUCCCCCCGCCUGCCUUUUUGUUUUUUGACGAAUCACCCUAUAUUACUACUGUUCCACCACUGGAAAUAAUUUAGAAUUGUCCUUGACAGUAUAGAGUCCAAAAACCCACUCAGGUUACAUGUUCAGUUUAGCGACAUGCCUGCCCCCACCUUUCUUUAAAUACAUCACUCAAGAGACACUGCAUGUGUGACACUCACUAACUUUAACCAUGCUUUGAGUCAUUUCCAAAUCACACACACUGAAACACAAUGCUAAACGCAAAUACAAAUAUAAAUCCAGGUUUGGAUGUUCUUUGAGGAUUAGUGGAUUUUAAAAUCUAAAAUAAAAAAUAAUAAUAAAUGCUUAACGAAAUGUGGAAACGUCUUUGGUGAAGUGAAACCUCCUGUUACUGCAGUAAUUCCUAAAUGCACAGCUCAGCUAUUUUAAGAGAAGUUAAAGUUGUAACAGACAACAAAUGGACGUUUGGCCAGAGGCGUCAUUACAGGCAAAGUUCUACGAUCAGUUUUUAAUCUACUGUGCCUUGUCAAAACAGAUUUGGAAGAUGUGGCUAAACAAUCCACAUGUACAGUAAUAACAGCCUAUGGAACACCACUGUUAUUGUAAGAGUGAGAGAGUAAAAGACAUGAUGCCUGCCCUCCUUCAUACAGUGACUGCUAUGAUCAGUGAUAGAAAGAAGGACCUUUCCUCUUCUUCUCUUACACACCUACAGAUUUUCUGUACUCAAUCCUUCUCAAUAAUUAGCUUUGUAACGUAUUACUGCAAUGAUUCCUAUUUCACAGAUGGAAACAAAUGAUAGCGCUAAUGUUUUGGCCAAAAGAUAUAUCUAAUUAACAGCUAAUAAUUAGUUAAUACUGAGGUCCAUAUCAUCAUCAUCAUCUGUAUCUGGAAAUAUCACUAGAUACACAAUUUCCCAGCAAGACCUCUCAUUAAUUCAUAAUACAGGGUGUUCCAAAAGUCUCCAUGCAGACAGGAAAUGAACACUUUAUCAGAAUAUCUUCCAGAAUUUUUUUGUACUUGGUUAUACAUGGCUUCUGCAGGUUUCAACAAGUCGAAGACCAUUAUGAAUGCAAUUUAAGACCCAUUUCAUGUGCUUACUGGCAAACAAAUUAUGACAGAUAUGAAAGAAAAUCGGAAACCCUGGUUAGCCCACACACCACGCCGUGACAGACUGGGUGUGCUCUGAUAAAUUCUUCCUGGCUACACGGUUUGCACGAGCGAUUAUCAAUACCAAUUUUUCCCGAAAACACAUUUAAAAGCGAGACUGAACUUUAGAACUUUAUCGAAGUAACAUUACAUAAUCAAAACAGUUUUUAAGACCUAUCUAAAUCAUAUUUAAGACAUUUUAAGGCCUAAAAUUUGUUUUAGAUUUUUUUAAGGACCAGUGGACAUCCUGAUAUAAAAAAUUUUUCACAGGGUAUCCUCUCCCCCCCCCAAGAAUGUAUUGAAAUCAUUUUCAUGGCUGGAUUGGGGUGGACUUUAACAGGAAACAUGGCAAGCACAUCACACAUUCACACACACACACACACACACACACACACACGACACGGUUGCCAAGCUUAACAAAUUCAAAAAGACUGGAAGUGUUGCGGACCAACCGAGAAGUGGACGUCCAUGAACAUUUACUGACGAAGGCACAACCAACGUGGUGCUGGCAAACAUAGUCCCCUAUGUAUGGAGACUUUUUGGUACACCCUGUAUAAGGCUGUUCAGCUCACCUUACACUUCUGCUGUGUUGAAAUCAUUUUUAAAUACAAGAUGACAGUAUGCUUUAAGACCGAUCUCUACAUUAAGGGUGUGUAGAUUAGAACACUCGGGGGUUUCAAAAACAUUCUUCCAAAACAGUCAGACAAUUAGCUAAUAUCAAAUUUUCUAACUUAAAAUUAGAAAACUAUUUUUGUUGCAAUUUAAUUAGAAACAAUUGAAAUCUUUAGCAUUACACAAUGUUCCUAAAUACAGGGGCAAUCAACUAACAGUUCAAUAUUUUAACACAGGAAUAUUUUACAUUUACGAUCAAAGAUACACAUUUAUUUUGUUCGCUACAUUGAUUGGGUAUGAAUGCAUACUUUGGACCAAUCACUGGGAAGUGUACUGCUGGUAGGAACUAAACAACUCAACAAAAGCCUCAUAUUCACUGCACCUCAAGCCACUGACUCAUCAUCAUCAUCAUCCCAGAACACAAAGAAAAGAGGAAAAAAAACUCUGCUUGUUCAUCAGCAGUAUGACUAAAAGCAGACAUCAGCUGAUCUCUGUUCUGCACACUAUUUUAGUUUUCAUUUAUUUUGAAAUGGCUUGCUUUAUGGUUACUGGCCUGUAGGAGGCUUCAUAGGGACAUCUCAGCCAGUUAGGACCUUCACCUCAGCCAUGAUUACAUGUCUGUGUAAAACAUCAUGUCACUGAUAUGAGCAGUAUGUGCAUGAACACGCAUGUGACACGUGUCAGUGGAUUGACUCACUUCAUUUUUAAAGAAGCAUGAAUCUAAUAUACUCGAUUAAGCUUGGCAAAAUGAUGAGGUUUAGAAGUAUGGGUAAGUAUGGCAGAGACGUUUCCACAACAACUCUGAGACAUCUGGCGAAAGCAACUUCAAAGUCUAAAGGUCAUUCUUGUAGCCAUACGGCGACACAUUAACGGUACGUGCUUAAUAAGAUAUGAUGAGACAGCAUGUGUUGAGUGCUUGUUCAGGCCAGUCAGUGCUUAUCUCAACACAGGGUCAGCACUUUCAUUACAUCAUAAGACACACAGCACGUCCCAGUAAACACAUCAGCACUUUCAUUAGAUCAUAAGUCACACAACUCCUUCAUAAUUAAAAAAAAAAAAAAAAAAAAAAGGUCUCAUCAUUGGCACUAUUUGCAUAGUACAUGCGUGGCGAUUAAAUACACCUGUGAUGUCAUGAGAGCAAUACAAUGUCGCAUGAUUUGAGGAAUUGCAACGUAAAAUCUGCUGUAUGGUUAAUUAACAUUUUUACAGGACUAAUUUUUAUAUCGAAAAUAACAUUCAGAAAUAUAGUCAUUAAAGCGUUUCAGAAAUUACAUUUCUGAAAUUCAAUUCUUAUUUUCAGUGCUAAUGCAAUUCAUUCACAGAACCUUACACUUACAUUGUGAUUAUAUACUACUUCAAACCACCAAUGUCAUUAUAAAUUAUUUCUUUUUAUACUAAAAUGUUAUUAAGGGCAUGUAUUUAGAUGGAGAUGCGGAGGAAUCUCAACACUUAAGGUUUUUCUUUAGCAUCAAGGAGCUUGUAAGUACAAAUACAAACAAGUACAGCUAUAGAUUCAAUUUACAGCCCUUGAUCGAGCAAUGCUAUAAACCCUAAACUCUCAGAUAUGUGGUAUGCUUAGAUUGGAUUCUACCGCACUUGUUAGCUACCUUGGAUAAGUUCCACAUGGUUCAACGUUCACCACUUUCAACGAGCUUUUGGAGAGCUAAAUUAACUCAUUUGAGAGGAAAAAGUGUCUGAAUUGUGACUAGCAGUCAUAUAUUAUACUAAUGCCUGCUUAUAUUUACAAGACGUUUAGAUCUUGAUAUUACUGGUAUCAGUAACACAUGAUUAAUACAUUUACACUUACACCAAUAUCCAUCCAUCCAUCCAUCCAUCCAUCCAUCCAUCCUCUACCGCUUACUCCUUUUCAGGGUCACUUACACCAAUAUUUAAAAUGGAAUUAUAUAGUCUACAGUCAUAUAAGCGCUACAGAACUAAGUUUCCACCCAAUCACGAAAGAAAGAAUGAGGGGGGACAAAACAAAAACAAACAAACAAAAAAAUACAUCCUGGAUAGUUCUAAGAAGAACAGACAGAGUCAUUCAAACUCUGAAUGAUAAAAUCUUACAAUCUGACUAGCAAGAACAUACCCUCAAGCAACAAUGGCCAUCAAUCAAUAUAACAUCUCGCACAAGCAAGGAGAAGAUAUGUAGGAAAUUCUAUACCUACAGUACACACACACACACACACACACACACUCUACACUGUAGCUUCAGGAUACAAAUGCCUGGCCCACAGGUAGUGUCUUCGAUGAAGUGUUUAAGAUAGUGUAAAGAGUAUCAACAUUUAAAUAAAAUUAAAAAAACGCAUCUACAAGACUUAAAGGAUCCAUGGUUGUAUAGUUAAGGGCACAUUUACAUUGUUUGUACCUCAGGGAACAACAAUGUACCAGCACAGUUCCAUUUUACCGCCGAGACUGUUUAGUUUGCAUCACCACUCACUUUAUCCCCGAUCAGAUAUGGAUCCUAUCCCGUGAACUUUAGGUGCAAAGUGGGAAUACACCCACCAUACACCCACAUUUGCUCCACCUGCUUGAGUGAUUCAGGAGGAAACCAGAGACCCUACGUGGACAGGAGGAAAACAUGUAAAACUCAGCACAGACAUUUAACCAGAGGUAAGGAUUGAACCGGAGAACCUGGAGCUGUGAGGUGGCUGUGAGAUAGUAUUUGCUCAUGAAGAGAUUUAGAAAAAUACACUCACUGGUCAAUUUAAUAGGUAUACCUGUACAGGCCAAGAACAAGAAUCUGAGGCUGCCAUGGGCACAGACUCACCGAAACUAGACAUUUGGAUAUUGGAAAAAGUCCAGGUGAUUUUUUUUUCUCCCUCUAAUUUUCAACUGUCCAGUGAUAUGAGUCUGUGCCCAUGAUAGCCUUAGAUUCUUGUUCUUGGCUGACAGGACUGGAACCCAAUGCGGUCUUCUGCUGUUGUAGCCCAUACACCUCAAGGUUCAAUGUUUUGUGCAUGCUGAGAUGCUUUUCUGCUCACUAUGGUUGUAAAGAGUGAUUGAGUUACUAUACACUUCCUGGCAGUUCGAACCAAUCUGGCCAUUUUCUUCAGUAUAUCUCACUCUGGACAAGACAAAUCUGCCCCAGAGUAGUAGGACUACGUUAGAUUUCCAAGUAUCUCAGGAAUUAUAGAUCAUGCCUUUCAGAUCUUCCGUUAUGUCUUUCCGCCUGCUCUUUAAUUACUUCUAUUAACUUUUAGUUCUGUGCUUCGAAAGUGUGGUUCUCCUCAGAGCGUUCAGAUCGAUCUGGGGAGCCUAAAUGAACGCACACUAACACAUGCAUGCUUAAAUAGACAUCCGAGUUUAUUCAUGCAAACCAAGAGUAUUUAUACACAUUGAUAACAGCAGUGCGUGGACAGUUUCUACUGGUGCAGGGGCCAGACAGAUAGACAAAACACACAGCACACUAUGAAAGUAAGUCUUUUCAAGAGACAGAAAAUACAUGUGCCAGCUAUAAGAAAGGAUGGCAGGUGAUCUGCUUAUUUAAAGAAGUAAUUAAAUGUAUACAUUCAUCAUAGGUAUUUGAUAGCGUUUUAUAAUAUGACAGUACAUGAUAUUACAUGAAUUAUAGUCUGAAAGGAAAUUCUCUUACGAACUGCUUGGAACAAGUAUCCAUUAUAUCCAACUAACAAACUCAGACAUAUUUAAUAUGUGAGUGUAUCUGAUAUCAGAACAAAUCUACUAUAGUGCACAUCAGAAUCAUUAUAAUAAGAUUGAGAAGUAUGAAUAAAACACUGAAACUUCCAGACCUAAUUUCUGCACUUCCAGAAAUCAGAUACGAGGUGAUAACUUAUCAGUACAGCACACAACUCCAGCACUAACUGCUAUAUUAAACAAAUUAAUAAUGUGUGCUUGAAUAAAGCUGAUAUCUGAGGUUUUAUUUCCUGUAAUGGCCUCGAUAACUGCUAUUUUACUCUUGAUUGGUAACAGUGAUGAGGCUGGUAGUGACAAACCAUACAUAAGGCAACAAAAGUCAAUAAAUUCCUGCUUCCUGGAACCAAUGCAAAAACUUCACAAUGCCUGUUCAGUGUCAGAGAUAAUUUCCUAAAGCACAAGAUAAGAAAUUCUGGAAAGGUCUUCAAGAAUGUGGCAGAAAUUCUUAUCAUCCCUUAUCUAUGUGGGAUCAGUAAUCAACGGCUGGAAGAACCAUCAAUGGUUGAAAAACAUGGAUAUAGAUUUCAACAUGGAAGAAACAAUUAUUCCUGCCAAGACUGCAACACCUUUCUGGGAAAAAUCACACCCAUACCCACUCAGAAGACUUUUCAAGACAGAGAAGCCCACCUCUCUGCUAUUAAUACCCACUGAUAAGGUGCUAUCUCUCCCCUGAGUACCAUGUCUGUUUAUGGGCAAAAUCAGAAUCAAGCCACUGAGUACAGCUCAUCCUUGAAUGUCAGCUGGAUCAAUCAGAGCUUCCUUAUCACUACUGUGCCCAUGGUUUUGUUGAGACACACACUGUUCACACCCCAUACCCCCACUCCAUUUCAGUGGGCCUUCGGAAGGAAGUCAAAAGUGCAGACUAAGCACCAAGACCAACUAAAGUCUAGAGGUCUAGAGUAUAGUGGAACUCGACACAGUUGAGGAACAGAACAGUCAGGACAGUGUUCUGGAACAAUGACGAACAUGGACUAUGAACCACCUUCAACCUUUGAGCAACAUGUUAUCAUUUGCAGGCCUGAUAACGAAGCAUUAAAUGCACUGAUGCUUCUUUCCUGUGACCUUUCAUCCUUAGAACAAUCUAGAGACACACUUAUUAUCUGACACUUUCCAUGUAAUGUAAGGACAAAGUCAGAGUCAUUGUUCCUUUUAAAGGAAUUUGUAUUUUACUUAGCAUAUGAGCUUCAUAAGUGGCUAUACAAUUAUACACAACAAUGUAGAGGAGAUUAAUACGAAUAGAAAUGUAUUCCAUUAACUCUUACGUCUAGUACUUCACAGAAAGCAAGAAAAAAAAAAACCUCACUGUCCACUUUAAUAGGAACACCUGUAAACCUGCUCAUUUAUGCAGUUAUCCACUCAGCCAAUUAUGUAGCAACAGCACAAUGCAUAACAUCGUGCAGGUACAGGUAAAAAGCUACAGUUAAAGUUCAAAUCAAAAUCAGAAUGGGGAAAAAUGUCUGUGACUUUAACCGUGGCAUGGUUGUUGGUGUUGGUGUUUAUACAUAUAUUUGAGAAACUCCUGACCUCCUGGGAUUUUUAAAUGAAAUGUCACUUCUAUGCUGGGCACAUGGUGGCUUAGUGGUUAGCCUGUUCGUCUCACACCUCCAGGGUUGGGGGUUCAAUUCCCACCGCGGCCCUGUGUGUGCACGUUCUCCCCAUGCUGCUGCGGGGUUUCUUCCAGUUUCCUCCCCCAGUCCAAAGACAUGUAUGGUAGGCAGUCUGGCAUGUCCAAAAUGUCCGUAGUGUGUGAAAGGAAGGCGCACCCUGGGCAAUGUUCAGAAUCAUAUUGCUGAGCGGCUAAUUCUUCCACCACGAUGGUUCCACUAUGAAGAGGAACCUCGACACGAAAAGAAGAAGACGACUUCUUGCCCCCCCCCCCCAUUUAAUUUUAAUAUUGAGACUUUUUUUUUAACGUGUGAAAAUAAAUAGUGCUACUUUUUUACUCCAUUAAGCAAGUCAUUUGGGUAAAACAUUUAGGACAGGUGUGACAGCUGACAAUAUUUUGUCAACAAUAAGAAUAUCGGGCAUGUUGAACAUUGCGAUAUAUUUCGGAAAAGAUUAUAUCAACAUUCAUAGAGAGUAGAAAAAUAACUUCAUGGAGAUCAAAUGGGACUGCUCGAGCAAGAUCACAUUCUGUCUGCAGGACAUUUCAGUUGGAGUACUUCGAUCAUCAUUGCAGCCUAAAUUGGCAAACAUUCUCCUAAGUUUUUCCUACAGAUAUCCUGUAGUGAGUCAUUCCUACUGAUCUUAUUUUUCAAAGGUAAGUAAAGCUUCAGUAGUCAACAUCAGACAGGAAGUGAAAGCCAGAAACAAAGCGGGAUCAUUUCCUCUUUCCAGAUCACUGCCAGCACUUCUGACACAUCAGCAAGUGAUCAUCUGACUUCAGAUACUCAACUAAUUAUAAAAACGUACAGUAAGCAGAGCCAUGCACGCCAGAUGGACACCAUGAACAUACGUUUUCAGAGUAAACAUGAUCAACCGAAUCCAUGGUAAAAUGUAGAGAAAGGUCAGAAAAGGGAACUAUGCAAGUACCAAGGGGUUUCCUGUUCCAUAAUAAGCAUUCAAAGACAGUCUGUUUCCACAAAACAAAGAUCUAAACACCGAAAUGAAAAAAUGUUUGAUGUUUCUUGGAAAAGUGAAACUUACCAGAGCAGAAGAGAUGACAAUGUACACACCAUGGUUCAACAUUUGAAGGCCAGAGUCCCAGUGGAUUGGGGAAAAUGGGACAAGGAUACAACAAAUUCAGUACAUACAACAGAGAGAGAGAAGAGAGAGAGAGAGAGAGAGAGAGAGAGAGAGAGAGAGAGAGAGAGAGAGAGAGAGAUUUAGGAUCCCCAAAUCUGUACUGCAUACACUGUAUAUGAACUCAGCACACACUUUAUACAGAGCCAGCUGGAAUUGACUAUUUCUGCACACUAGAUUAAAAUGAUAUUAAAGCUAACUGAUAUAAACAAAUCGAAUUAGUGUUAUAAUAAGCGCUGAAACUGUGUACACACCCAGAACAUCAUCUCCGUUUAAGAAAACACAGCGAGCACGCGCGGACUAUGUUCAAAACUACCCACCUUCACACACUUGACUCUGGACGUUUAAAAAAAAAAAAAAAAAAAGUUACAAACAAUACACAACCUGGCUAAAAUCCCGCCGUUGAAAGCAGUUAGAGACCCCACUCACGUCACCAGCGACAAUUAACAGGCGUUAAACCCGGCACGGAGCCACUUCUAGCACUUCUGGCACGGCGCACUUUCGAGUGGAAAGCCGCAAAAAACACAACGCUCACCUGAGAGGAAUCCGCUUUGAUCCACUCGGAUCUUCUGAGGGAGGUGUCCUGAGAUCACAAAGCCACGCCCCGUCUGCGCUAUUGGCUGGAGAUGCUGUAUGUCAGCGUAGUAACGUAUUAACCCCGCCCAUCACCACCUACCAUAAGACUGAUGCC
Molecule: long non-coding RNA, 13603 nt
Organism: Ictalurus punctatus (channel catfish)
Lineage: Eukaryota; Metazoa; Chordata; Actinopteri; Siluriformes; Ictaluridae
Source: Ensembl